GGAUCAAUAUGUCGGUCGUGCUUCGGUACGUACUGGUAUCAUUGGUUUCACCUUUUUGACGAACCAUGAUGUCAUUAAUUUGGUGGUAUGGGGAGUUAGGACUGUUACUUUGAAAAAAUUAGAGUGUUUAAAGCAGGCUCACGCUUGAAUACAUUAGCAUGGAAUAAUGAAAUAGGACGUUUGAUUCUAUUUUGUCGGUUUCUAGGAUUGACGUA
RNAcentral lists this ribosomal RNA (215 nucleotides) under Campeiostachys nutans. RNAcentral describes it as "Elymus nutans partial small subunit ribosomal RNA". The stretch from base 46 to 215 matches the Rfam family "Eukaryotic small subunit ribosomal RNA", at positions 693 to 864 of the family's 1831-position model. The record is from RNAcentral. Lineage: Eukaryota; Viridiplantae; Streptophyta; Magnoliopsida; Poales; Poaceae.